Salmo salar (Atlantic salmon) is the source of this 58-nucleotide non-coding RNA. NCBI's taxonomy places the organism in Eukaryota, Metazoa, Chordata, Actinopteri, Salmoniformes, Salmonidae. The record is from Rfam.
UGGCUCAGUUGGUAGAGCAAGGUGUUUGCAAUGCCAGGGUUGUGGGUUCAAUUCCCAU